Molecule: long non-coding RNA, 1206 nt
Organism: Rosa rugosa (rugosa rose)
Lineage: Eukaryota; Viridiplantae; Streptophyta; Magnoliopsida; Rosales; Rosaceae
Exons: 2
Source: RefSeq, a predicted model, not a curated record
AACGUAAGAUAGAAGAAAGAAAUACAGUGAGAUGGAUACUGCAGUUUUUUUCUUUCAUUCACCAAGUAACGAUAAAUUUUUCAGUGUUUCACCGAAUAGCCUUGAUCCAAUCUAUAUACACACAAUAUAUAAUAAGAAUACUUGCUAACCAUUCUCAGGUGACAACUGGUUCAAAUAUCUUGUGAGAAUUAAACAUCCCAUCAAAACUUGCAUAAAAUUUGACAAUACUAAAACUAACACCUCCUUGACAUACUAAACAGUACUCUGAAACUAAUGUUGUAGAUUCUAACUAAGACCUCCAUAACAUACGGAACGGUACAAAAAAUGUAAAAUCAAUGAAUAGAAAGUCCCACAACCCCAUGUUGGAUUGAAGGAUUAAAACUGACCAGAUCCCAUCUGCUCUCAAACACGGCUGAGAACCCGAGAAAGUCGAAGCUUGGGAGAUAAGUUCAUCACCAUGAUGAUUACAGGAAUGACUCUGUGGAGACCGACAACCUUCACCUUCUUCACGGCCCGUGAGCACCACUCCUUCCGCAGAGCUGUUAAUUACUCCUCAACACCGUUGGAGCCCGUCCAGGAGUCCAAAAAUUCAGGUAAGGGUCAGGACUGUGCUACACAUUGCAACUUGCUCCUUUAGAUUUUAGUGUGGCAGAGAAAGGCCUCUCUUUUUUUAUUAUUCUUUUAAAUAAUACAUCUAAAACAGUUUAUCAUGACUGAGAGGUGAGGAUAGUAACUAACAAUGAUUGUUUCUUCUUCUUGUUUUGGCUGCUUUAUGUUCAAUGUCUUCACAUUCUCGAAGUCAAAGAUAAAACCAGAACCAGAAAUCAUAUAAAAGUGACUUUUCAAAAAAUUAUUUAAAGAGGAAAUGACCAGAAAAGGUGAUGAACUUACUGCGUGAAGCAGAAGCUAACAAGGAAACCACUAAAGCCCUCAAUAUCCACAUCACGAACUGCUGAAUGUAAGAUCUUGAUAUUGUUUCCCUCCUCAAUUCGAAAUGUGGUGAUAGAAAGAGGUUGCCGAUAAUUGCCUUUGUACGUGAAACCACUCUGGACAAGACAAAAUUCCAGGCCACCCAAAUGAGCCAAGUAUUGUGAUCUCCUUGAAGGAUUCGGUGGAAACUUAAUCUCCAUGCCUGACAACAGCAAUGGCUUGCCAAGAGAAAAGGCAGCAUGACCUUCAUCAGUUUGAUCCGUUAUGACAGAGAAU